RNAcentral lists this long non-coding RNA (201 nucleotides) under Homo sapiens (human). RNAcentral describes it as "HSALNT0184960". The record is from RNAcentral. Lineage: Eukaryota; Metazoa; Chordata; Mammalia; Primates; Hominidae.
GGGGAUCUUGGCCUCACGGUGUAAGAAGGGAGAGGAUGGUUUCUCUUCUGCCCUCACUAGGGCCUAGGGAACCCAGGAGCAAAUCCCACCACGCCUUCCAUCUCUCAGCCAAGGAGAAGCCACCUUGGUGACGUUUAGUUCCAACCAUUAUAGUAAGUGGAGAAGGGAUUGGCCUGGAGCAGAUGACACCAUCAGAAGCAU